GACGAACGCUGGCGGCGUGCCUAAUACAUGCAAGUAGAACGCUGAAGGAGGAGCUUGCUUCUCUGGAUGAGUUGCGAACGGGCGAGUAACGCGUAGGUAACCUGCCUGGUAGCGGGGGAUAACUAUUGGAAACGAUAGCUAAUACCGCAUAACAGUAGAUAUCGCAUGAUAGCUGCUUGAAAGGUGCAAUUGCACCACUACCAGAUGGACCUGCGUUGUAUUAGCUAGUUGGUGAGGUAACGGCUCACCAAGGCGACGAUACAUAGCCGACCUGAGAGGGUGAUCGGCCACACUGGGACUGAGACACGGCCCAGACUCCUACGGGAGGCAGCAGUAGGGAAUCUUCGGCAAUGGACGGAAGUCUGACCGAGCAACGCCGCGUGAGUGAAGAAGGUUUUCGGAUCGUAAAGCUCUGUUGUAAGAGAAGAACGAGUGUGAGAGUGGAAAGUUCACACUGUGACGGUAUCUUACCAGAAAGGGACGGCUAACUACGUGCCAGCAGCCGCGGUAAUACGUAGGUCCCGAGCGUUGUCCGGAUUUAUUGGGCGUAAAGCGAGCGCAGGCGGUUAGAUAAGUCUGAAGUUAAAGGCUGUGGCUUAACCAUAAUACGCUUUGGAAACUGUUUAACUUGAGUGCAAGAGGGGAGAGUGGAAUUCCAUGUGUAGCGGUGAAAUGCGUAGAUAUAUGGAGGAACACCGGUGGCGAAAGCGGCUCUCUGGCUUGUAACUGACGCUGAGGCUCGAAAGCGUGGGGAGCAAACAGG
RNAcentral lists this ribosomal RNA (763 nucleotides) under uncultured Streptococcus sp. Its description in RNAcentral is "bacterial SSU rRNA". It matches the Rfam family "Bacterial small subunit ribosomal RNA", at positions 28 to 776 of the family's 1533-position model. Lineage: Bacteria; Bacillati; Bacillota; Bacilli; Lactobacillales; Streptococcaceae. The record is from RNAcentral.